CACAGAAACAUGGCAGAGCUUUCCCCACCUUCUUGGGUUCAAGGGUCAGUGUCUCGGGCAUGGUAUGUCCUGCUACAGCCCCAUGAGUGAAGCUACGCUCACCUGUUCCUUUGCAAUAUAACCCCUUGCCCUGUUUAGGGUAGAAUCUUCCAUGGAAGUGCCUUGUGUGUGUUCCCUUCUCUUACCAUGCCCUUGGGUGUGGCCUACCCAGGUGUCAGGCAACCUGCUGACAGUGAACAUCAUGAAGAUAGAGUGAGCCCCCUGAAACCUGACCCCUUGCCUCAUUUGAAUAGCUUCUCCUCAAUAAAAGGAGUCAGCACAUGCUCUCACUCUCUCUUCCUGCUGACCCUUAAGGUCAGAGGAGCCUUCACAUUGACCCCAAAGAAAAAGGUAUUUGUGUCUCUUGUGUGGUCAUUUUGCACAGCCCAGUCAGCCCAGUUUACCUGGAGUGACCCCUGAGCCUUUUAGUUGCAAGAAGAGAAACCUGGCACAUGAUUUUGGAAAUUCAAGUGGAAAUGAAACCCAUUAAACACUAUUUGUCAAAAAGUGGUGAUUGAACAAGUUUUGGAAACUAUAUUCAGUGAAAUGAAAGUAUAUGCAAACCAAAAUUUCCACAAAAAUUGACUCAUAGUCAUCCAUAACUAAAA
This 647-nucleotide long non-coding RNA is filed under the name Marmota monax (woodchuck). Lineage: Eukaryota; Metazoa; Chordata; Mammalia; Rodentia; Sciuridae. The record is from RNAcentral.